Molecule: ribosomal RNA, 179 nt
Filed under: uncultured bacterium
Lineage: Bacteria
Description: partial 16S ribosomal RNA
Rfam family: Bacterial small subunit ribosomal RNA
Source: RNAcentral
GAAGCUGGAAUCGCUAGUAAUCGCGGAUCAGAAUGCCGCGGUGAAUACGUUCCCGGGUCUUGUACACACCGCCCGUCACACCAUGGGAGCCGGAAAUGCCCGAAGUCAGUGACCCAACCGCAAGGAGGGAGCUGCCGAAGGUGGAGCUGGUAACUGGGGUGAAGUCGUAACAAGGUACC